Molecule: transfer RNA, 76 nt
Filed under: Nitrososphaerota archaeon
Lineage: Archaea; Thermoproteati; Nitrososphaerota
Description: tRNA-Met
Rfam family: tRNA
About the family: Transfer RNA (tRNA) molecules are approximately 80 nucleotides in length. Their secondary structure includes four short double-helical elements and three loops (D, anti-codon, and T loops).
Source: RNAcentral
AGCGGGGUGGGGAAGCCAGGCCUAUCCCGGCGGGCUCAUAACCCGCAGAACGGUGGUUCAAAUCCACCCCCCGCUA